GAUGCCUACGGGGCGCAGCAGUGGGGAAUAUUGCACAAUGGGGGGAACCCUGAUGCAGCGACGCCGCGUGGGUGAAGGAGCACCUCGGUGCGUAAAGCCCUAUCGGCAGGGAAGAAAAGCGAACAGGUUCGCCUGGACGGUACCUGACUAAGAAGCCCCGGCUAACUGCGUGCCAGCAGCCGCGGUAAUACGUAGGGGGCAAGCGUUAUCCGGAUUCACUGGGUGUAAAGGGCGUGUAGCCGGGCCGGCAAGCCAGA
This 257-nucleotide ribosomal RNA is filed under the name uncultured bacterium. RNAcentral's name for it is "partial 16S ribosomal RNA". It matches the Rfam family "Bacterial small subunit ribosomal RNA", at positions 334 to 592 of the family's 1533-position model. The record is from RNAcentral.